CAGCAGCCGCGGUAAUACGUAGGGUGCGAGCGUUGUCCGGAAUUAUUGGGCGUAAAGAGCUCGUAGGCGGCUUGUCGCGUCGAAUGUGAAAGCCCGGGGCUUAACUCCGGGUCUGCAUUCGAUACGGGCAGGCUAGAGUGUGGUAGGGGAGAUCGGAAUUCCUGGUGUAGCGGUGAAAUGCGCAGAUAUCAGGAGGAACACCGGUGGCGAAGGCGGAUCUCUGGGCCAUUACUGACGCUGAGGAGCGAAAGCGUGGGGAGCGAACAGGAUUAGAUACCCCCGUAGUCCCUGUCUCUUAUAA
This 301-nucleotide ribosomal RNA is filed under the name uncultured bacterium. RNAcentral's name for it is "partial 16S ribosomal RNA". It matches the Rfam family "Bacterial small subunit ribosomal RNA", at positions 509 to 809 of the family's 1533-position model. The record is from RNAcentral.